AACGCACAUUGCACCUUUUGGUAUUCCGAAAGGUAUGCUUGUUCGAGCGUCGUUUAAACUAUAUCAAUUUAAUUAUUGAAUGUAUUGAGUGCUUUCUCUUAGCUUUUUUUUAAUUAAAAAAUAGAGACACUCCGAAAUGAUUGAGCGAUCUUGACUAGAUUUAAUUGACGCAUUAAGAAUUAUUUUAUCGUCAAUAGAAGAAGUCAAUUGAUCUGCCAAAUAAAAUCUAUUUCUUCUGUAAGAGUUUUUCCAAACUCAAGUAGAACAAAUAAACCAAUUUUUUAUUAUCGACCUCGAAUCAAGUAGGAUUACCCGCUGAACUUAA
This 325-nucleotide unclassified non-coding RNA is filed under the name uncultured Icmadophila. Its description in RNAcentral is "partial contains 5.8S ribosomal RNA, internal transcribed spacer 2, and large subunit ribosomal RNA". The record is from RNAcentral. Lineage: Eukaryota; Fungi; Ascomycota; Lecanoromycetes; Pertusariales; Icmadophilaceae.